AUUGAACGCUGGCGGCAGGCCUAACACAUGCAAGUCGAACGAGUGGCGGACGGGUGAGUAAUGUCUGGGAAACUGCCUGAUGGAGGGGGAUAACUACUGGAAACGGUAGCUAAUACCGCAUACCAUCGGAUGUGCCCAGAUGGGAUUAGCUUGUUGGUGGGGUAACGGCUCCCCAAGGCGACGAUCCCUAGCUGGUCUGAGAGGAUGACCAGCCACACUGGAACUGAGAAACGGUCCAGACUCCGACGGGAGGCAGCAUGGGGGAAGAUUGCACAAUGGGCGAAAGGCUGAUGCAGCCAUGCCGGGUGUGUGAAGAAGGCUUUCGGUUUGUAAAGCAUGUUCAGCGGGGAGGGGUUACCCGCAGAAGAAGCACCGGCUAACUCCGUGCCAGCAGCCGCGGUAUUC
RNAcentral lists this ribosomal RNA (405 nucleotides) under uncultured bacterium. RNAcentral describes it as "partial 16S ribosomal RNA". It matches the Rfam family "Bacterial small subunit ribosomal RNA", at positions 30 to 525 of the family's 1533-position model. The record is from RNAcentral.